Molecule: ribosomal RNA, 460 nt
Filed under: uncultured bacterium
Lineage: Bacteria
Description: partial 16S ribosomal RNA
Rfam family: Bacterial small subunit ribosomal RNA
Source: RNAcentral
CCUACGGGUGGCAGCAGUGAGGAAUAUUGGUCAAUGGCCGUAAGGCUGAACCAGCCAAGUAGCGUGAGGGAAGCCUGCCCUAUGGGUUGUAAACCUCUUGUGUGCGGGGAUAAAGGUGUCCACGUGUGGAUGUUUGCAGGUACCUCAUGAAUAAGGACCGGCUAAUUCCGUGCCAGCAGCCGCAGUAAUACGGAAGGUCCGAGCGUUAUCCGGAUUUCUUUGGUUUAAAGGGAGCGUAGGCCGGUCUUUAAGCCGGCCGGGAAAUUUUGUGGCUCAACCAUGAGAGUGCGGCGCGAACUGGAGACCUUGAGUGCGCGAAAGGCAGGCGGAAUUCGUGGUGUAGCGGUGAAAUGCUUAGAUAUCACGAAGAACCCCGAGUGCGAAGGCAGCAUGCCGGCGCCUUACUGACGCUGAGGCUCGAAAGCGCGGGUAUCGAACAGGAUUAGAUACCCUUGUAGUC